Molecule: ribosomal RNA, 3075 nt
Organism: Segniliparus rugosus ATCC BAA-974
Lineage: Bacteria; Bacillati; Actinomycetota; Actinomycetes; Mycobacteriales; Segniliparaceae
Rfam family: Bacterial large subunit ribosomal RNA
Source: Rfam
UAGUAAGUAUGCAAGGGCAUACGGUGGAUGCCUUGGGACCAAGAGCCGAUGAAGGACGUAGGAGACUGCGAUAAGCCUCGAGGAGCUGUCAACCAAGCCGAGAUUCGAGGAUUUCCGAAUGGGGAAACCCGUCUACGACGAAAGUCGUGGUCACCGCUGCCUGAAUAUAUAGGGCAGAGGGAGGAAACGUGGGGAAGUGAAACAUCUCAGUACCCACAGGAAGAGAAAACAACCGUGAUUCCGAGAGUAGUGGCGAGCGAAAUCGGAAGAGGCCAAACCUUGUACGCGUGAUAGCAGGUAAGCGUUGCGUGCAGGGGGUUGUGGGACCUCACUUGUCAUUGUUACCUCAAUGGCCAACAGUCAGAAAACAUAGUGUUAGUGGAAGCGAGUUGGAACGCUCCAUCACAGAGGGUGAGAAUCCCGUACACGAAAACUCUAUGUCUGUUGUGUGAGGCACCCAAGUAGCAGCGGGCCCGUGAAAUCUGCUGUGAAUCUGCCGGGACCACCCGGUAAGCCUAAAUACUCCUUGGUCACCGAUAGCGGACCAGUACCGUGAGGGAAAGGUGAAAAGUACCCCGAGAGGGGAGUGAAAUAGACCUGAAACCGUGUGCCUACAAUCCGUCAGAGCCGCAAGGUGAUGGCGUGCCUUUUGAAGAAUGAGCCUGCGAGUUAGCGGCAUGUGGCAAGGUUAACCCGGAGAGGGGCAGCCGUAGCGAAAGCGAGUCCGAAUAGGGCGUAGAGUCGCAUGUUCUAGACCCGAAGCGGAGUGAUCUACCCAUGGGCAGGGUGAAGCGAGGGUAAGACCUCGUGGAGGCCCGAACCCACUUCAGUUGAAAAUGGAGGGGAUGACCUGUGGGUAGGGGUGAAAGGCCAAUCAAACUCCGUGAUAGCUGGUUCUCCCCGAAAUGCAUAUAGGUGCAGCGUCGCGCGUUUCUUGCCGGAGGUAGAGCUACUGGAUGGUCUAGGGGGCCCACAAGCUUACCGAAAUCAGCCAAACUCCGAAUGCCGGUAAGUGAGAGCGCGGCAGUGAGACUACGGGCGAUAAGGUUCGUUAGUCGAGAGGGAAACAGCCCAGAUCGCCGACUAAGGCCCCUAAGAGUGUGCUAAGUGGAAAAGGAUGUGGAUUCGCAUGGACAACCAGGAGGUUGGCUUGGAAGCAGCCACCCUUUAAAGAGUGCGUAAUAGCUCACUGGUCAAGUGAUUCCGCGCCGACAAUGUAGCGGGGCUCAAGCACACCGCCGAAGUCGCGGCAUUCAUACAUCGUAUGGAUGGGUAGGGGAGCGUCGAAUAGCCUUUGAAGCUGCGGAGUAAUCCAGUGGUGGAGGCUAUUCGAGUGAGAAUGCAGGCAUGAGUAGCGAAAGCAAUGUGAGAAACAUUGCCACCGUAUGACUAAGGUUUCCUGGGCCAGGUUAAUCCGCCCAGGGUUAGUCGGGACCUAAGGCGAGGCCGACAGGCGUAGUCGAUGGACAACGGGUAGAUAUUCCCGUACCGACGUGAAACCGCCCAUGAUGAAUCCAGGGAUGCUAACUAUCCCAAAGCGUGCGUUCCUUCGGGAACAACCGUGGCGGCAUAGAACCCGAACUGGUAGUAGUCAAGCGAUGGGGUGACGCAGGAAGAUAGCGGAUCCAGUGAAUGGUAGUACUGGUGUAAGCCCGUGGGGCGUGGUAUAGGCAAAUCCGUACCACACAAGCCUGAGAGGUGAUGCGUAGCCGAUGAGGCGAAUUCCGUGAUUCUAUGCUGCCGAGAAAAGCCUCUAGCGAGGUUUCACGUUGCCCGUACCCUAAACCGACACAGGUAGUCAGGUAGAGCAUACCAAGGUGAUCGAGAUAACCGUGGUUAAGGAACUCGGCAAAAUACCCCCGUAACUUCGGGAGAAGGGGGGCCUCGUUUGGUGACCCAACUUGCUUGGUGAGCUGAGUGAGGCCGCAGAGACCAGGGAGAAGCGACUGUUUACUAAAAACACAGGUCCGUGCGAAGUCGUAAGACGAUGUAUACGGACUGACGCCUGCCCGGUGCUGGAAGGUUAAUAGGACCGGUUAGCCGCAAGGCGAAGCUGAGAAUUGAAGCCCCAGUAAACGGCGGUGGUAACUCUAACCAUCCUAAGGUAGCGAAAUUCCUUGUCGGGUAAGUUCCGACCUGCACGAAUGGCGUAACGACUUCUCUACUGUCUCAACCACGGACUCGGCGAAAUUGCACUACGAGUAAAGAUGCUCGUUACGCGCGGCAGGACGAAUAGACCCCGGGACCUUCACUAUAGCUUGGUAUUGGUGUUUGGUUCGAUUUGUGUAGGAUAGGUGGGAGACUGUGAAGCAGGGACGCCAGUUCUUGUGGAGUCAACGUUGAAAUACCACUCUGAUCGUAUUGAACAUCUAACCUCGGACCGUGAAUCCGGUUCAGGAACAGUGCCUGGUGGGUAGUUUAACUGGGGCGGUUGCCUCCCAAAAUGUAACGGAGGCGCCCAAAGGUUCCCUCAGCCUGGUUGGCAAUCAGGUGUUGAGUGUAAGUGCACAAGGGAGCUUGACUGUGAGAGUGACAGCUCGAGCAGGGACGAAAGUCGGGACUAGUGAUCCGGCACCGGCAAGUGGAAGCGGUGUCGCUCAACGGAUAAAAGGUACCCCGGGGAUAACAGGCUGAUCUUCCCCAAGAGUCCAUAUCGACGGGAUGGUUUGGCACCUCGAUGUCGGCUCGUCGCAUCCUGGGGUCGUAGUAGUUCCCAAGGGUUGGGCUGUUCGCCCAUUAAAGCGGCACGCGAGCUGGGUUUAGAACGUCGUGAGACAGUUCGGUCUCUAUCCGCCGCGCGCGUUAGAAACUUGAGAAAGGCUGUCCCUAGUACGAGAGGACCGGGACGGACGAACCUCUGGUGUGUCAGUUGUUCUGCCAAGAGCACCGCUGAUUAGCCACGUUCGGAAGGGAUAACCGCUGAAAGCAUCUAAGCGGGAAGCUCGUUUCAAGAUGAGGUUUCUCACCACCUUGAGUGGGUAAGGCCCCCGACAGAUCAUCGGGUUGAUAGGCCGGAACUGGAAGCGUAGUAAUACGUGCAGGUGACCGGUACUAAUAGGCCGAGGGCUUACUACA